GGUUGCCACACAAACUAAAGAAGAGGUUAUGUUUGUGUCUAUUUUUCAAUGAUUUUUCAUUGUUUAUCGUCGUAUUUUGGAUUCAUUUGGAUUUCGUUUCCUGUUUUUGUGAACUUUAUAAACUUUACCACAAUGCGAACUGAUUAUUUAAGGAAAUUAUUAUUGGAAACUCCAGAUGUUGGGAGAAAGAUAUUUAUUGAAGCUGAAAAUAAUUGGGGAUUUAGAUCCAUACGGAAUUGAGUCAGAAUUGGAUUUUACAGUAAAGUGCAGUCCAUCAAGUUACUAUUAUAGAUAUGUAUUUAUACAGAUCUGGUGGAGUCUCACAGUUGCUACUCUAAGCAGCAGAUGAAAGCAUACAAAAGCCUUCAGGCACAUAAAUAUUUUACAGCUGGAUUUGUUUUGAAUGGAGUAAAAAUUGUUAAUGAUUUCCUGAUUUCCAUAUUAUUGUUGGAAAGGUGAAGCAUUUCCAAAAAGCUAAUGCUAAACGACUAAAUGCUUGGGUGGGGUGAUAGCCAGUUCUGAUGACAUAGCAAAUGCACAUUGUAUGCGUAUGGCCGGUAAUAGUGAAGUCUGCAGCCAUAUUGCAGCAAUAUAUAUUGCUGACCUGUAAAAGUACAUUUGUACAUUAUUACCAAUAAAUACUCUACUCUACUCUACUCUACUCUAAUCCUAUUUUUAGCUGAGUAUGCCCAGAGCAAGACAGACGAAGAAGAACCCAAUGCAUGUACAUAUGUUACAGCUACAUGGUUUGGAGAUAGCAACAUAUGCAUUCUCUGAUGAAAAACUAAUGAGUUUUGAAACUGUUCGGUCAGAGUGCUUGUUGCGCUCACUAAACGAACUGAAAUAUAAGAAGUCUUUGGCAUUGUGUUGCAGCGAUAUGAAAAUGGUUAUUCAUUUUUAAUUAUAAUGUACUUCUUCAUCAUGAGUAAUUAUGUAUUGGUCUUUUAGAUGUGUAUUUAUUUUUGUAAUUAGUAUCAACUUGUAAUGAUAAUAUACAUUUAUCGUUUAAGGUACGACUAUGUUUUGACUCUAAAAUAAAUGUUUUAAAAAUCGAA
Molecule: long non-coding RNA, 1055 nt
Filed under: Diabrotica virgifera virgifera (western corn rootworm)
Lineage: Eukaryota; Metazoa; Arthropoda; Insecta; Coleoptera; Chrysomelidae
Description: uncharacterized LOC126890452
Source: RNAcentral